UACGAAGGGCCCGAGCGUUAUUCGGAAUCACUGGGCUUAAAGCGUACGUAGGCGGAUGUGCAGGCAUCUUGUGAAAUCCCUCGGCUCAACCGAGGAACUGCUUGGUGAACCGCACGUCUUGAGGCAGAGAGAGGCUGUCGGAACGAUAGGUGGAGCGGUGAAAUGCGUAGAUAUCUAUCGGAACGCCAAAGGUGAAGACAGGCAGCUGGCUCUGUUCUGACGCUGAGGUACGAAAGCGUGGGUAGCGAACGGG
Molecule: unclassified non-coding RNA, 253 nt
Filed under: uncultured Phycisphaeraceae bacterium
Lineage: Bacteria; Pseudomonadati; Planctomycetota; Phycisphaerae; Phycisphaerales; Phycisphaeraceae
Description: contains 16S-23S intergenic spacer region
Rfam family: Bacterial small subunit ribosomal RNA
Source: RNAcentral